CCUACGGGAGGCAGCAGUGGGGAAUAUUGCACAAUGGGGGAAACCCUGAUGCAGCGACGCCGCGUGAGUGAAGAAGUAUUUCGGUAUGUAAAGCUCUAUCAGCAGGGAAGAAAAUGGCGGUACCUGAUUCAGAAGCCCCGGCUAACUACGUGCCAGCAGCCGCGGUAAUACGUAGGGGGCAAGCGUUAUCCGGAUUUACUGGGUGUAAAGGGAGCGUAGACGGCAGCACAAGUCUGGAGUGAAAUGCCGGGGCUUAACCCCGGAACUGCGUUGGAAACUGUGCAGCUAGAGUGCAGGAGAGGUAAGUGGAAUUCCUAGUGUAGCGGUGAAAUGCGUAGAUAUUAGGAGGAACACCAGUGGCGAAGGCGGCUUACUGGACUGUAACUGACGUUGAGGCUCGAAAGCGUGGGGAGCAAACAGGAUUAGAUACCCCUGUAGUC
This 440-nucleotide ribosomal RNA is filed under the name uncultured bacterium. RNAcentral's name for it is "partial 16S ribosomal RNA". It matches the Rfam family "Bacterial small subunit ribosomal RNA", at positions 338 to 795 of the family's 1533-position model. The record is from RNAcentral.